This is a long non-coding RNA of Capsicum annuum, 2596 nucleotides long. RefSeq lists it as uncharacterized. The transcript is spliced from 7 exons. The record is from RefSeq and is a predicted model, not a curated record. NCBI's taxonomy places the organism in Eukaryota, Viridiplantae, Streptophyta, Magnoliopsida, Solanales, Solanaceae.
UCAACUUCAACAUCUUCCCCCAUUAAACCCUUCACCUAAAUCCUAAAACACUCUCCAUUUACUGUAGAUGGAAAAACGGUGUUGUUUGGAAUGACGUCAUCAUCGUAAAAAGUGAAUUUUGAGCUUAAAGCGACUUUUUUUUUUUGUUUUGAUUGUUUUGUGAGAGAGUUAAUCAUGACUUUCACGACGUUGUUCGUCCAGUAGGGCGGAGGCUUACUUCUAUAUUGGAGACUGACAAGAAUAUGGAGAAGAGUAUUAUGAUCUCGAUAAUCACCUGUGGCAGGACGACACGAAACAUUGUAGCAGAGAGAAGGUAAGUAUACUGAUUUACCCACUUAUAAUUUGAGGAUUUGUUUGUUCAUGCAUCUGUGUGUUGGAUUUAGAUGGCUUAGUGUCCUCUUCCUUUUACCCUUUUUUGCUUAAAGAACAAACUUUUCUCAUGAAAGCAGCAGUGAAUGACACAACAAAAAUAAAAUUCUACCUUUAGCUUUUCAGUACUAUUCUUAAUUACUUAGAGAAAGUUUAAUGUGUUUGCAUAUUGUAAUAAAAAAUAAUUUUAGAUGAGUAUGUAUCACCCCAGUGAUAAUUACAAUAAAAUGGUUUGGAAAAGACUAACGUACUGGUAGAGAGUGAAUACAACUAUCUCUUACCAAAUGUAAUUUUUCCAGGGCAUGAAAGAAAAUAUCUUAUGUACUCAUGACAUUAUAUUCCUAACUCCCGGAAAUGUAGUUCUUUUUUAUCAUUUUCUAGAAUGAUUCAGUUUUCUCCUUUGUAUGUGCCAUUUAUAGGUGCAUUGUGCCUUUAUGCAAAGUGGUGGAUGGUGAAUAGGUGUCCAUUACAUCAAGAAGUGUUGAUCUUUUACCGCUUCAGAUAUCUUUAUUGCAUAUGAUACACUUUCGCCGUUUUGUAAGUGCAUGUUCACGUAAGCUAUUUUGUGGUGUUGGUUAUAGCGAAACAUGUAAGUUUUUGUGGGAUGGAGUUAUUUCAAAAAGGACAUUUAAACAAAAGAUUGAGAUACCAUAGAGACCGGAAAAACUUUGAAAUUUCAAAUAGAUUCUGGAAAGACUAAAAUGCAAGAUUUUGAGGUUGAUGCUUUAUUUUUACUUGGUCUUUUAGUACACUUGAUGCAGACACUUAGUAAUGCUUCUGUCACCACACACUCCAAAAAUCAAGAAAUUAACUCACUGAUGGUCACAUCUGUGAAUCUCAGGCUGAAGGAUAAUGGUUCUGGCAUUUGUCAAGACAUCUUGCAGGCUAAUAUUUAAGAAUUCUCUCUUCUUUUUAGUUAAAUAGAUCAAGUGUCUGUUGAUGUUAUUUGUUUUUACAGAAAAUAAUGCUACUCAUGGUGCUACCAAGUUUCCUUUAAGAUCUGCGUACACUCUAUCCUUCGCCCACUUUGUGGGAUUUCACUAGCUAUAUUGUUGUCAUCGUUGUUAUGUAAGUUUCACGAAGCAAAACCAAUUUUAAGAUGGAACACAGAAUUAGGAUUAAUUAACUAGACUUACUAGACUAACUAUAAUUCUGAAGUGGAUUGGAUGCAGAAGAUUUAUAUAUCUCUUAACUAGUUUAGGACUGACGCUCCUUUAUUACAUGUACUACCCAGGAGUGUGGUGGAAUUAGGAUUGAAGUUUUAUUGAUUGAUAGAAUAUGUUGAUAGUAAAUUCCAGUUGUUCAUAUAUCCUUUCUAAAAAAAGAUGUAUGAAAACCAGAAAUCCAGUACCCCAGAAUGCAGAAACUCAUGGAAGAAGUGAGGAGUAUUUUGGGCGUUAGAUUAGAGAAAGAAAAGUCCCUCACGAUAGUGUUGUUUUGUCCACUAAAGUCAGUGGACCAUCUGGACGAAUGUCUUGGAUUCGAAAUGGACCAGAAAGCUUGGGUGCUCAGAACAUAAUUGAGGCUAUUGACAAUAGAAAUAACCUGCGUGUGGCAAAAGAGAACAACAUUCUGUAUAUUGCUUUUCCUGCCAUAUCAUAUGGGUCUUCGGGUUAGCUUCAUGUUUCCUAUCAAUAAAAGAGACUCAAUGGUAGGUGGUUUACAGCUUUGUGAGCCAUCUCAAGGCGCAUCAUGACCUACAGGCAACACCAGCGAGACCUGAGAAAGCAACCCGAUUGGGUGUCAGAUGACCCAUAGUACCCGCAGCCUCCCGGACUUCAUAUUCAUCAUUUUGGAAAGAGAGGGACAUAUUUUUGGGUGUUAAGAGAGAUAUUGAAUCGAAAGCGGACAUGCUUGCUCACUGGCUAGAUCAGUUGUCUGUACCUUUGCUAACUCUUCUGCCUGGAAGGAAGUUUGAAAGAUGGCUGCAUUGCCGUACUUUCAUACCUUUGCAUCCUAUCUUAAGGUUCGCCCGAGCUACUUUAUUAACAAAGACAUAAACAUAAAUGAUGGUUGUCUCGAGGUUACUAUAAUAAUUCCAAUUGAAAUGAAGCAGCAGUGUUGGUAGAAACAGAACUUAAAUCUAAAGCUUCUGAUACACUAUGUAGCAUACAUAUGAUAAAGGAUAACCACGUGUUUUACAAUUAUCUUUGUAGAUUAUUCAACAUCUUACAAGAUGUAAUUAUUAUUAUUAAGUAGUGCUAAUUUAUUUUCCCAUAAUUACUCC